GCUCUCGGGGCCGGAGGUGCUUCAGGCAGUGAGAGACGCGUUGACUCCUUUUUCAUCCAGCCUCGGAGGAGAAGUCCUCGUUUCCUUCCCCGCGGGGUGAAGCUUACCUUUCUCACUGAAAAUAACUUGUGAAAAAAUGUUCAAGACAAUAAAAGAUCUGACUCUUC
Molecule: long non-coding RNA, 167 nt
Organism: Neofelis nebulosa (Clouded leopard)
Lineage: Eukaryota; Metazoa; Chordata; Mammalia; Carnivora; Felidae
Exons: 2
Source: RefSeq, a predicted model, not a curated record